UACCUCCGUAAUUGUUUUCCCUCGCUUCCACCGCCAGCAUGGGUGCGCCUUGCCCACCUCCGACCAGAACUUGAGCAAAAGCUCAGUCAUUGAGAGGAGAUGUAAAGGCCUUGCUGAAAAUUGCAGCAGCAAUGCAGAAUGUUGUUCCAAUGUUUGCAUCAACAUCUGCUACUGAGCUGAGCAGAAGGAGAAAAAUUGCUCGAGGACGCAAAUAUCCGGUAUUGUCCAAUGUUUCGUUUCUAGCUGUUGAUGUGGUGUGGUAUGCAAUGGAAAAUAUGGAAAACUCCAACUUGGGAUUCUGAUGAACGAGCCUGGAGCGCUGUUGGGUUUGCUUUUUCAGCUGUAUGCAGUGUUGUAGAUGUUGGGAAAACUCGUUAAACCUGGAUAGUCCAUGUUAGCGUUGUUGCAGUCGUUGGUGCAAGCGGGAUACAUCC
This 434-nucleotide small RNA is filed under the name Histoplasma capsulatum. RNAcentral's name for it is "hypothetical RNA". RNAcentral also lists the same sequence under 1 other name. Lineage: Eukaryota; Fungi; Ascomycota; Eurotiomycetes; Onygenales; Ajellomycetaceae. The record is from RNAcentral.